GGAAUAUUGGACAAUGGACGGAAGUCUGAUCCAGCCAUCCCGCGUGCAGGAUGAAGGCGCUACGCGUUGUAAACUGCUUUUGUACAGGAAGAAACGUGCCGACUUGUCGGCACCUGACGGUACUGUAAGAAUAAGCACCGGCUAACUCCGUGCCAGCAGCCGCGGUAAUACGGAGGGUGCAAGCGUUAUCCGGAAUCACUGGGUUUAAAGGGUGCGUAGGCGGCUCAGUAAGUCAGAAGUGAAAGCCUGCGGCUUAACCGUAGAAUUGCUUUUGAUACUGCCGAGCUUGAAUUAGGUUGAGGUUGGCGGAAUGUGACAUGUAGCGGUGAAAUGCAUAGAUAUGUCAUAGAACACCAAUUGCGAAGGCAGCUGACUAGACCUUAAUUGACGCUGAGGCACGAAAGCGUGGGGAGCGAAC
This 418-nucleotide ribosomal RNA is filed under the name uncultured bacterium. RNAcentral's name for it is "bacterial SSU rRNA". It matches the Rfam family "Bacterial small subunit ribosomal RNA", at positions 358 to 773 of the family's 1533-position model. The record is from RNAcentral.